Long non-coding RNA from Limulus polyphemus (Atlantic horseshoe crab), 681 nucleotides. RefSeq lists it as uncharacterized. NCBI's taxonomy places the organism in Eukaryota, Metazoa, Arthropoda, Merostomata, Xiphosura, Limulidae. The transcript has 2 exons. The record is from RefSeq and is a predicted model, not a curated record.
AAAAGAAAGGUAGCUAGCUAACAACUCAACCCUUAACUGUGAUUAUGGGUUCUCAUCUAGAUAGUAAAGAAUAUUUCUGGUAUAAUUAUACCACAAAAAACAUUCACAGUUCUUCCUCAUUGAAACUUUCUAAACUUAACUCUGUGGUGUCAUCCAGGUGUUGGAUCAGUUAUUUCUCUACCGAUUGUUGCUGUGUCGUCCAGUUGUUGGAUCAGUUACUUCUCUACCGAUUGUUCCCGUGUCAUCCAGUUGAUGGACUAGUUACUUCCCUACUGAUUGUUCUCGUGUCAUUCAGAUGUUGGAUCAGUUACUUCAACUUGAAGAAAACAUCAACAGCUAUGAACAAAGAGAUCCAAAUGUGUAUUCUUUAUGUUAAUGACAGUUUUAUAAUACUUUCAUUUGAGAGUUGGACCUUAUGAAUUAUUUUUUAUGUCAGAUAGAAUUUUGUUAAUACAGUUGAGUUAUUUAACUAUUUUAUAAUUUUGAAAGUAACUGAUCCAACACCUGGAUGACACAGGAACAAUCGGUAGAGAAGUAACUGAUCCAACACCUGGAUGACACAGGAACAAUCGGUAGAGAUGUAACUGAUCCAACAACUGAACGACACUGCAACAAUCGGUAGAAUUAACUGAUCCAACAACUGGACAACACUGCAACAAUCGGUAGAAGUAACUGAUACAA